UAUGGGCUUCCCCUUCUUUGGGGAAACCUUGCAGAUGGUACUGCAGCGGAGGAAGUUCCUGCAGAUGAAGCGCAGGAAAUACGGCUUCAUCUACAAGACGCAUCUGUUCGGGCGGCCCACCGUACGGGUGAUGGGCGCGGACAAUGUGCGGCGCAUCUUGCUCGGAGAGCACCGGCUGGUGUCGGUCCACUGGCCAGCGUCGGUGCGCACCAUUCUGGGAUCUGGCUGCCUCUCUAACCUGCACGACUCCUCGCACAAGCAGCGCAAGAAGGUGAUUAUGCGGGCCUUUAGCCGCGAGGCACUCGAAUGCUACGUGCCGGUGAUCACCGAGGAAGUGGGCAGCAGCCUGGAGCAGUGGCUGAGCUGCGGCGAGCGCGGCCUCCUGGUCUACCCCGAGGUGAAGCGCCUCAUGUUCCGAAUCGCCAUGCGCAUCCUUCUGGGCUGCGAACCCCAACUGGCGGGCGACGGGGACUCCGAGCAGCAGCUUGUGGAGGCCUUCGAGGAAAUGACCCGCAAUCUCUUCUCGCUGCCCAUCGACGUGCCCUUCAGCGGGCUGUACCGGGUAAGGGCGGCAAACGGGCUGCGGACUAGGGGCGCGGGACCUGGGCGUCUGCUCACCGCCGCGCGCUCUCUGCGCUCAGGGCAUGAAGGCGCGGAACCUCAUUCACGCGCGCAUCGAGCAGAACAUUCGCGCCAAGAUCUGCGGGCUGCGGACAUCCGAGGCGGGCCAGGGCUGCAAAGACGCGCUGCAGCUGUUGAUCGAGCACU
Molecule: small RNA, 768 nt
Filed under: Pan troglodytes (chimpanzee)
Lineage: Eukaryota; Metazoa; Chordata; Mammalia; Primates; Hominidae
Description: retained intron
Source: RNAcentral